GGAAAUAAGGUGCACUCACAGGUCUUCAAAUGUGCUUCUUUUUAUUUUGCAUGAAAAUUUACAUGUGCAAAAAAAUCUACAAAAUCUACAAAUGAUUUGUUUGUAGAUUUUUUUGCACAUGUAAAUUUGCAUGUAAAAUAAAAAGAAGCACAUUUGAAGACCUGUGAGUGCACCUUAUUUCC
Non-coding RNA from Pelobates cultripes (western spadefoot toad), 182 nucleotides. NCBI's taxonomy places the organism in Eukaryota, Metazoa, Chordata, Amphibia, Anura, Pelobatidae. The record is from the annotation of a GenBank genome assembly.